AUGACCGUAAUUCCAGCUUUCUCAAGAUCCUCAACCUCAUCCUUGAUGGCCAAAGCAAUUUGAUAACAGGUCUCAAAUCUAGUACAAACAUAGAAAGGUAUUGUCAAUAUAUUAAAUUAACAGCCUGCAAACCAAGCAUGGUUAUAUUAGUUAUAUUUUUAUCCCUACCUGGGCUGGUCAUUUCUGACGAAGGACCAGUUCAAAAUGGUAACAGGACCAGUAAGCAUUCCCUUCAUGGGUCGCUUAGUCAUACUUUGAGCCAAUGAAGACCAGAACACAGUCAUGGCCUUGGGGCGGCUCACAUCACCAUAGAUGAUAGGAGGCUUGACGCAGCGAGAACCAUAAGAUUGGACCCAGCCAUU
This 362-nucleotide long non-coding RNA is filed under the name Populus tremula. Its description in RNAcentral is "long non-coding RNA (PTRE_LNC002868)". Lineage: Eukaryota; Viridiplantae; Streptophyta; Magnoliopsida; Malpighiales; Salicaceae. The record is from RNAcentral.